UUUGUCCUGUACAACGUGCCACGAGCAACUCCCUUUGCAAUCACCAAUGGUCCCUUGGUGAGUCUCUACUUUUGAUUUGCAAAAUAGUUCUCGUAUCCAUCUCGGUCCAAAGCAAUUCCCGAGAUCAAGUUCAUCCGCAAAUCAGGUACAUGCAAAUAGUUCUCGUAUCCAUCUCGGUCCAAAGCAAUCCCCGAGAUCAAGCUCAUCCGCAAAUCAGGUACAUGCCGUACAUCCUUUAGAACCAAUGUGCAUCCGUCAUUUGUCUUGAUACAAA
RNAcentral lists this long non-coding RNA (274 nucleotides) under Nicotiana benthamiana. Its description in RNAcentral is "long non-coding RNA (NBEN_LNC037095)". Lineage: Eukaryota; Viridiplantae; Streptophyta; Magnoliopsida; Solanales; Solanaceae. The record is from RNAcentral.